GAAGAAAGAAAGAAAAAGAAAGAAAAGUCAGGUCCUGUACAGCUUUCUAAGUACUUGAAAGAUAAAAAGAAGAAUCAGAACUACAGUAUGAUCCACAGGGAAGAAAAUUAAGAUGAAAAGUAAAGAAGAG
Lacerta agilis (Sand lizard) is the source of this 130-nucleotide long non-coding RNA. RefSeq lists it as uncharacterized. The record is from RefSeq and is a predicted model, not a curated record. NCBI's taxonomy places the organism in Eukaryota, Metazoa, Chordata, Lepidosauria, Squamata, Lacertidae. The transcript has 2 exons.